This 497-nucleotide ribosomal RNA is filed under the name uncultured bacterium. Its description in RNAcentral is "partial 16S ribosomal RNA". It matches the Rfam family "Bacterial small subunit ribosomal RNA", at positions 28 to 507 of the family's 1533-position model. The record is from RNAcentral.
GAUGAACGCUGGCGGCGUGCCUAAUACAUGCAAGUCGAGCGAACGGACGAGAAGCUUGCUUCUCUGAUGUUAGCGGCGGACGGGUGAGUAACACGUGGAUAACCUACCUAUAAGACUGGGAUAACUUCGGGAAACCGGAGCUAAUACCGGAUGAUAUUUUGAACCGCAUGGUUCAAAAGUGAAAGACGGUCUUGCUGUCACUUAUAGAUGGAUCCACGCUGCAUUAGCUAGUUGGUAAGGUAACGGCUUACCAAGGCAACGAUGCAUAGCCGACCUGAGAGGGUGAUCGGCCACACUGGAACUGGGACACGGUCCAGACUCCUACGGGAGGCAGCAGUAGGGAAUCUUCCGCAAUGGGCGAAAGCCUGACGGAGCAACGCCGCGUGAGUGAUGAAGGUCUUCGGAUCGUAAAACUCUGUUAUUAGGGAAGAACAUAUGUGUAAGUAACUGUGCACAUCUUGACGGUACCUAAUCAGAAAGCCACGGCUAACUACGUG